CGCACCUUGCACCCUUUGGUAUUCCGAAGGGUACGCCCGUUUGAGUGUCAUUGUAAUCUCACCUUCACAACUUUUGUCGUGGAAGUGGACUUGGACGUUGUCGUGUCAAUACGGCUCGUCUUAAAGGAAUGAGUGUGACCUGCUGUGCAGUGUUAACCAGUGUGAUAAGUAUCUUCACUGUAAGCCUCUCGAGGCGCACUGUCGGUGUUGGGCCCAUGCUUCAAACCGUCCCUCGGGACAACUCUUGACAAUUUGACCUCAAAUCGGGUGGGACUACCCGCUGAACUUAA
Molecule: unclassified non-coding RNA, 290 nt
Filed under: Sebacinales sp.
Lineage: Eukaryota; Fungi; Basidiomycota; Agaricomycetes; Sebacinales
Description: partial contains 5.8S ribosomal RNA, internal transcribed spacer 2, and large subunit ribosomal RNA
Source: RNAcentral